RNAcentral lists this ribosomal RNA (108 nucleotides) under Serratia marcescens. Its description in RNAcentral is "partial 16S ribosomal RNA". It matches the Rfam family "Bacterial small subunit ribosomal RNA", at positions 1434 to 1533 of the family's 1533-position model. Lineage: Bacteria; Pseudomonadati; Pseudomonadota; Gammaproteobacteria; Enterobacterales; Yersiniaceae. The record is from RNAcentral.
CUUAACCUUCGGGAGGGCGCUUACCACUUUGUGAUUCAUGACUGGGGUGAAGUCGUAACAAGGUAACCGUAGGGGAACCUGCGGUUGGAUCACCUCCUUACCUAAAGA